This 96-nucleotide small RNA is filed under the name Flavobacterium sp. ov086. Its description in RNAcentral is "Flavo-1 RNA". The record is from RNAcentral. Lineage: Bacteria; Pseudomonadati; Bacteroidota; Flavobacteriia; Flavobacteriales; Flavobacteriaceae.
GCCAAGUCCCGAUGGUCCCGAGAUUUCGGGAGGCAUCCUUUUUUAAGGCAAUUUUUCUUUGACUUAAAAAAGAUAUAAUGGACAGUGGGACAAGUG